This 103-nucleotide microRNA precursor is filed under the name Marmota monax (woodchuck). The record is from RNAcentral. Lineage: Eukaryota; Metazoa; Chordata; Mammalia; Rodentia; Sciuridae.
AGUGGGAUAGCUGGGUCGAAUGGUGAUUCCAUUCCAGGUUUUCUAAGGAAUCUCCAUAUUGCUUUCCAGAUUGGCUGCACCAAUUUGCAGUCCCAUUAGCAAU